UGUAGCUCAGUGGUAGAGCACUUGCCUAGCAGGCAGGAGGCCCUGGAUUCAAUCCCUUGCA
This is a non-coding RNA of Heterocephalus glaber (naked mole-rat), 61 nucleotides long. NCBI's taxonomy places the organism in Eukaryota, Metazoa, Chordata, Mammalia, Rodentia, Bathyergidae. The record is from Rfam.